UCCUGGUUAGUUCAGUUGGUAAAGCGCUCCACUGGAAAUGGAGAGGACCCUGGUUCCAUACCAGGACCAGGCG
This is a non-coding RNA of Ixodes scapularis (black-legged tick), 73 nucleotides long. The record is from Rfam. Lineage: Eukaryota; Metazoa; Arthropoda; Arachnida; Ixodida; Ixodidae.